This 72-nucleotide transfer RNA is filed under the name Marmota monax (woodchuck). It matches the Rfam family "tRNA". Rfam says of the family: Transfer RNA (tRNA) molecules are approximately 80 nucleotides in length. Their secondary structure includes four short double-helical elements and three loops (D, anti-codon, and T loops). Further hydrogen bonds mediate the characteristic L-shaped molecular structure. tRNAs have two regions of fundamental functional importance: the anti-codon, which is responsible for specific mRNA codon recognition, and the 3' end, to which the tRNAs corresponding amino acid is attached (by aminoacyl-tRNA synthetases). tRNAs cope with the degeneracy of the genetic code in two manners: having more than one tRNA (with a specific anti-codon) for a particular amino acid; and 'wobble' base-pairing, i.e. permitting non-standard base-pairing at the 3rd anti-codon position. Lineage: Eukaryota; Metazoa; Chordata; Mammalia; Rodentia; Sciuridae. The record is from Rfam by way of RNAcentral.
GGGGUUGUGGCUCAGCGGUAGAGCGCUCACCUACCACAUGCGAGGCCCUGAGUUCAAUCCUCAGCAACACAU